Molecule: ribosomal RNA, 392 nt
Filed under: uncultured bacterium
Lineage: Bacteria
Description: partial 16S ribosomal RNA
Rfam family: Bacterial small subunit ribosomal RNA
Source: RNAcentral
AUACGGAGGAUCCGAGCGUUAUCCGGAUUUAUUGGGUUUAAAGGGAGCGUAGGCGGAUUAUUAAGUCAGUUGUGAAAGUUUGCGGCUCAACCGUAAAAUUGCAGUUGAUACUGUAGUCUUGAGUGCAGCAGAGGUAGGCGGAAUUCGUGGUGUAGCGGUGAAAUGCUUAGAUAUCACGAAGAACUCCGAUUGCGAAGGCAGCUUACUGGACUGUAACUGACGCUGAUGCUCGAAAGUGUGGGUAUCAAACAGGAUUAGAUACCCUGGUAGUCCACACAGUAAACGAUGAAUACUCGCUGUUUGCGAUAUACAGCAAGCGGCCAAGCGAAAGCAUUAAGUAUUCCACCUGGGGAGUACGCCGGCAACGGUGAAACUCAAAUGAAUUGACGGGG